Tachysurus fulvidraco (yellow catfish) is the source of this 346-nucleotide long non-coding RNA. RefSeq lists it as uncharacterized. The transcript is spliced from 3 exons. The record is from RefSeq and is a predicted model, not a curated record. Lineage: Eukaryota; Metazoa; Chordata; Actinopteri; Siluriformes; Bagridae.
CAUAGCUUUCCUGUGGUGGCUGCUGGUGAUAUUAAACUAUUAGGGUUGACUGAUAUGUUCUAUACUGAGGUCUCAUUGAUUAAAAAAUAAUAAGAAGAAAAAGAAUCAUCAUCAUCAUCAUCAAAAAAGCCGGAGCCCUUUUCUUCAAACCAACCAACACCGAACUAACUCUUCUGUCAUCUGUGCUUUUGGGAAAGACUCAAUUCCUCUUCCUCGCUGAAACAAGCCAUCUCUGCAACUUUCUACCCCAUCUCACAGCAAAGUUCUGCUCAUGACGUAAAGUAAAGCCGUGAGCUCCAGAAAGUCUGACACUGUUCUGGCUCACCUGUUCUUCCCUGCUAUCUGA